CGGAGCGUAGCGCAGCCUGGUAGCGCACUUCACUGGGGGUGAAGGGGUCGUAGGUUCAAAUCCUAUCGCUCCGACCA
This 77-nucleotide transfer RNA is filed under the name Alphaproteobacteria bacterium. Its description in RNAcentral is "tRNA-Pro". It matches the Rfam family "tRNA". Rfam says of the family: Transfer RNA (tRNA) molecules are approximately 80 nucleotides in length. Their secondary structure includes four short double-helical elements and three loops (D, anti-codon, and T loops). RNAcentral also lists the same sequence under 1 other name. Lineage: Bacteria; Pseudomonadati; Pseudomonadota; Alphaproteobacteria. The record is from RNAcentral.